RNAcentral lists this ribosomal RNA (253 nucleotides) under uncultured bacterium. RNAcentral describes it as "partial 16S ribosomal RNA". It matches the Rfam family "Bacterial small subunit ribosomal RNA", at positions 524 to 776 of the family's 1533-position model. The record is from RNAcentral.
GACAGAGGUGCCGAGCGUUAGGCGGAAUCACUGGGCUUAAAGCGUGUGUAGGCGGACUUCUAAGUACCUUGUGAAAUCCCCCGGCUCGACCGGGGAACUGCUUGGUAUACUGGUUGUCUUGAGCCACUUAGGGGCAGUCGGAACAGACGGUGGAGCGGUGAAAUGCGUAGAUAUCGUCUGGAACGCCAAAGGUGAAAACAGACUGCUGGGAGUGUGCUGACGCUGAGACACGAAAGCCAGGGGAGCAAACGGG